RNAcentral lists this ribosomal RNA (385 nucleotides) under uncultured bacterium. RNAcentral's name for it is "bacterial SSU rRNA". It matches the Rfam family "Bacterial small subunit ribosomal RNA", at positions 30 to 412 of the family's 1533-position model. The record is from RNAcentral.
AUUGAACGCUGGCGGCAUGCCUUACACAUGCAAGUUGAACGGCAGCGCGGGGCAACCUGGCGGCGAGUGGCGAACGGGUGAGUAAUAUAUCGGAACAUACCCUAGAGUGGGGAUAACGUAGCGAAAGUUACGCUAAUACCGCAUACGCACUAAGGUGGAAAGUGGGGGAUUCGCAAGAACCUCAUGCUCAUGGAGUGGCCGAUAUCUGAUUAGCUAGUUGGUGAGGUAAAGGCUCACCAAGGCAACGAUCAGUAGCUGGUUUGAGAGAACGACCAAGCCACACUGGAACUGAGACACGGUCCAGACUCCUACGGGAGGCAGCAGUGGGGAAUUUUGGGACUAAUGGGGGGCAAACCCUGAUCCAGCAAUGCGCGUGAGUGAAGAA